UUUUUUUUUGCCUUUUCGAGGGCCGCUCCCACAGCAUAUGGAGGGUCCCAGGUGAUUCUAACGUAAAACUAAGACUGAGAGUAACUGCUCCAACCCUUUUCUUCUCAGCCCACCUUGUCUUGGUUUUCAGUUUACUGUGGAAGAGCCCUUCCUACAGAGCCUGAUGGAGGGCAGGAGAACACAAGUUCUCCCAUUUCUCUGCAGGGACCCCCCCUUCUCCUCCUGCCCACUAGUGUGAACAUCUACAGGAUUAAGCUGAUGAGGAAAAAUGAACUACAUUUUAAUGGUUAAUACCAAACACUGGAAUGACUUUGCAGAUAAAUCUAACCACAGAAGCAAUGUAUUUCCUUCUGGUCCUCAAUCAUCAAUUUUUUAAAAAUGAGGUUUUUGGGGAGGCUGUUUUCUAACUAUUUAAAGCGUUUCUUUAAAUUUUUAAGUGGGUUGGAAGUUAAAGAGAGAUCUUGAUCCCAUCACUGUUUUCAUCCACCCUCUAUCUCAGAGCUAAUCCCUACCCCGGGAACUCCAUAUGCCAAGAGGCCGCCAAAAAAGGAGAAAAAAAAUUAUGGUUAUUUUUAAGAACACAAAAACUGUAUAAAACUUUAUUUUAUUUUUAUGGCUACACCCACGGCAUAUGGAAGUUCCCGGGCCAGGGACUGAAUGUGAGCCACAGCUGUGACCUACACUGCAGCUACCUCAACACUGGAUCCUUUAAUCCACUCCUAUAUAAAAAUUUUAAAUAGUUUAAGUCCAUUAGAGUCUAAGUGACAGCCAGAGCCACCCAAUGGUAGGGCUAGGAUUAACAACUGGCCUUUCCUGAGUUCUGUGUUCUGGAUUUCCAUUGCAUAAGAAUGUGCCCAUGGAGUUCCUGUUGUGGCGCAGUGGUUAACGAAUCUGACUAGGAACCAUGAGGUUGCAGGUUCGAUCCCUGGCCUUGCUCAGUGGGUUAACAAUCCGGCGUUGUCGUGAGCUGUGGUGUAGGUUGCAGACGCGGCUUGGAUCCCUUGUUGCUGUGGUUCUGGCGUAGGCCGGCAGCUACAGCUCCGACUGGACCCCUACCUGGGAAGCUCCAUAUGCUGUGGGUAUGGCCCUAAAAAAAUAUAUAUAUACAUAUAUAUUCCUCAAGGUAAAACCACAAUGCAAUACUACUUAUAAACUCACCAGAUGGGAUUAAUCAAAUAGACCAAUUGGACCAAGUGUUGGUAAAGAUGAGAAGAACUGGAACGCCACCCACACUGCAGACAGAAGUGUAAAAUGGUACUUUGGACAACGGUUUGGUGGUUUCUUAAAAAGUUAAAACAGGAGUUCCCGUCGUGAUGCAGUGGUUAACGAAUCCGACUAGGAACCAUGAGGUUGUGGGUUCGGUCCCUGCCCUUGCUCAGUGGCUUGAUGAUCCGGCGUUGCCGUGAGCUGUGGUGUAGGUUGCAGAUGCAGCUCAGAUCCCACGUUGCUGUGGCUGCAUCUCCGAUUCAACCCCUAGCCUGGGAACCUCCAUAUGCCACAGGAGUGGCCCAAGAAAUAGCAAAAAAAAAAGACAAAAAAAAAAAAAGUUAACACACACCAAUUUUUAAGUUUCAAGGGAUUGAAGUCAAAGUAAGUCUGAGGAACUGCUCCAGCCUGAAGAUCAAAGCACUAGGAUAACUAAAUGCAAGCUCGGAUAACAUGCCUGAUGAGCAGGGUCUGAAAAGUAGGAAGUAGCAGCAUGUCGGUGCUCACUUGCUGGUGGUGACAGCUAUGUUCUGGUCAUGCAGGAGUGUCCUGGUUUGGCAUUCUAGUGAGAUGAGCACUGUUCCAGCGAUUUACUCUCAAAUGAUUCAGGGGAAAAAAAACCUUUGUACUAUCCUUAUAAUAUUUCUAUACAUUUACGCUUGUUUAAAAAAUUUUGUUAAAUAUUUAGCAUUAAAAGUGUCUUUAGGAGUUCCCAUCGUGGCACAGUGGAAAUGAACCCAACUAGGAACCAUGAGGUUGCGCAUCUGAUCCCUGGCCUCAUUCAGUGGGUUAAGGAUCCAGCGCUGCCGUGAGCUGUGAUGUAGGUCACAGAUGCAGCUCAGACCCUGCGUGGCUGUGGCGUGGGCUGACAGCUGUAGCUCGGACUGGACCCCUAGCCUGGGAACCUCCCUCCACAUGCUGAGGGUAUGGCCCUAAAAAGCAAAAAAAAAAAAAAAAAAAAAAAGUGUCUUUAGAGGUCUUCCUAUCAUGGCUCAAUGGUAAAGAAUCCAACUAAUAUCCUUUGAACCCCGGCUUUGCUCAGUGGGUUAAGGAUCUGGUAUUGCCAUGAGCUGUGGUACAAGUCAGACACAGCUCGGAUCCUGAGUUGCUGUAGCAGUGGUGUGCACCAGCAGCUAAAGCUCCGAUUCAAAUGCUAGCCUGGGAACUUCCAUAUGUUGUGGGUAUGGCCCUGAAAAGAAAAAAAAAGCGUCUUUAACAGAAAAUAAAAUAAAAUAAAAUGCCCUGCCCUCUACACUCUAUACCAUUACCCCAUUUUGGUUUUCUUCAUGGCCUUAUCAGUAAGUGUAACGGUACUUGCAUGUGAUAGGCUACCUUCUCCACUGAAAAGUAAGCUCCUCAAAGGUCAGGACUACAUUUUGUUCACUCCUCUAUUCUAAGUGCCCAGCAUAGUGGCCAAUAGAGCGGUUAUUCAUAUUUGUCCAAUAAGUUAAUUUGUCUUAUAAUCAUUUAACAAAAAAUCAUUUACCAUCUCCUCCCCAAAAAAUCCACACACACCACUUAGCUUAUGAGCCAGCAACUCUACUGCAAAGUACCCAAGAGAAUAAAAACAUGUCCACAUAAGAACAUAUAUGUGAAUGUUCAUAGCAACAUUAUUCAUAAUAAACAAAAACUGGAAAUAUUCCAAAUGUCUAUUAUCUGGUAUAGACAUCCAAAUACUACUGGAUGACCAAAAAGCAACAAACUACUGAUCCUGGCAACAACAAGGAUGAAUCUUAAAACAUUUUAAGUGAAGAAAAAGCCCGAUUAAAAAAAAAAAAAAAAACCUUUGGAGUUCCCGUCAUGGCGCAGUGGAAACAAAUCCGACUAGGAACCAUGAAGUUUUGGGUUCAAUCCCUGGCCUUGCUCGCUGCUGUGAGCUAUGGUGUAGGUCAAAGAUGUAGCUCAGAUCUGGCGUUGCUGUGACUAUGGUAUAAGGCCAGCAGCUGUAGCUCCAAUUCGACCCUUGGCCUGGGAACCUCCAUAUGCUUUGGGUGAGGCCCCACAAAGCACAACAAAAACAAAAAACCUCUCAUCUCAAAUGAAUCUAAAGUCCUAAAAACAUGCAAAACAAAAAGCAGAUCAUCGGCUGCCAGAGGGGUGGGAGGGUGGUUGGGUGGGAGCAGGACCUGACUGCAAAUGACAGGAGUGAACUUUUUGGAAUGAUGGAGAUGUUCAAAAACUGGAUUGUGAU
RNAcentral lists this long non-coding RNA (3397 nucleotides) under Sus scrofa (pig). Its description in RNAcentral is "lncRNA (ENSSSCG00050067444.1)". The record is from RNAcentral. Lineage: Eukaryota; Metazoa; Chordata; Mammalia; Artiodactyla; Suidae.